RNAcentral lists this ribosomal RNA (483 nucleotides) under uncultured bacterium. RNAcentral's name for it is "partial 16S ribosomal RNA". It matches the Rfam family "Bacterial small subunit ribosomal RNA", at positions 899 to 1397 of the family's 1533-position model. The record is from RNAcentral.
ACUCAAAGGAAUUGACGGGGGCCCGCACAAGCAGCGGAGCGUGUGGUUUAAUUCGAGGCUACACGAAGAACCUUACCUGGACUGGACAGGCGCGCGAACGAAGGUGAAAGCCGGAGGGCCGCAAGGCGCGCGCUCAGGUGCUGCAUGGCUGUCGUCAGCUCGUGCCGUGAGGUGUUAGGUUAAGUCCUGUAACGAGCGCAACCCCCGGGUCCAGUUACACGUGUCUGGACCGACUGCCCGUGACAAGCGGGAGGAAGGUGGGGAUGACGUCAAGUCAGCAUGGCCUUUAUGUCCAGGGCUACACACACGCUACAAUGGCCGGCACAAUGGGUCGCCAAGCCGCAAGGCGGAGCCAAUCCAGCAAAGCCGGUCACAGUUCGGAUUGUGGGCUGCAACCCGCCCGCAUGAAGUCGGAGUUGCUAGUAACCGCCGGUCAGCCAUACGGCGGUGAAUACGUUCCCGGGCCUUGUACACACCGCCCGU